CCUUCAACCUAUUGUUUGCAUCCUAAAUGACAUGCAUUUACUCUCAUCUAUAUGCAUUUACCAUUUUGUCUUCCACAUUAUUUUUUCUUCUUCAUUUUUCAACAAAGCAAAAUUUAUCUCUGAAUUUUCUUCCUUUCUUUUCUUCCUUCCUCAUCCCCUCCCUUAUGGAUCAUCUCCUCACUGGAAACCCGCCACCAUUUACUCCUCUGAUUUAUCCCUCGCCGACAGAAAGUUAAUCUUACUCUUAUGCUUCUUCCCUUUUCAACUCCAGCGGCGCUGAACUCGGCGGCAGAUCCAUGGCUCUGAGUCUCGACAUUCAUAACGAGGACCUAACACAACACGCAGGGUUAUUCUUCUCACAUCUCACCGGAAAAUCAAUUUCUCUGAUCCACGCACAUCUCGCCGACUCCGCAACUGCCGCCACAACAACAAAUGACCUUCGUUCUAAUGAAGGUCCACACAGUUAUACUUACUUGAAUCUGAAGAGAGCACAAGUAUAUUGAUAAAUAUCAUCUUCGAUUCAGUUAUAUACCUUUUCCUUUUUAUUUCACUCUACCAAGCUUCAAGCUUUUGCUUUGUGGUCCCAACAGUUGUGAUCUUUAAGUUUUAAGGGUUGAAUCUGAUGCGAUCAGAAAGUAUUGUAGUUUGGAUUGAACGCUGAGGGAUGCUUUUGAUGCUGCACGGUGUUCAGAAGUUUAUUCACAGAGAGUGUAUACACUGCUUAAAGCUUUUGUUAGUUUGGAUAGAUAAAUUAGACACAUCCGACUUAAAGCUUUUAAAUAGAUGGAUAUUUGAUUUUAAUAGUUUUUGACAAUAAUUAUUUCCCUUCGGAGAGUGUAUUCUAAAACCUAAUUAUGAAGCCUUCUUAUUCUUUCUGACAAUUUGGUUUCCACCAUUGAGGUAAUUCUUAGAUGUGCUUAUUGUAUGGUAUCAUAUCAUUCUCUAUGAAUUUGAGAUACAACUAUUAUUUGUAAUAUUUUAUUCUGCUGGCAAUUUUAGAUACAACUAUUAUUUGUAAUGCUGGCAAUGACAAAAUGAAAUGUGUGUGAUGCUUUGUAGGGAGAGGUUCAUUUGUCUAUCAAGAUGAGAAAUUCACCACUCAUAGUUUUAUCUAA
Medicago truncatula (barrel medic) is the source of this 1115-nucleotide long non-coding RNA. RefSeq lists it as uncharacterized. The record is from RefSeq and is a predicted model, not a curated record. The transcript has 2 exons. NCBI's taxonomy places the organism in Eukaryota, Viridiplantae, Streptophyta, Magnoliopsida, Fabales, Fabaceae.